RNAcentral lists this ribosomal RNA (253 nucleotides) under uncultured bacterium. Its description in RNAcentral is "partial 16S ribosomal RNA". It matches the Rfam family "Bacterial small subunit ribosomal RNA", at positions 524 to 776 of the family's 1533-position model. The record is from RNAcentral.
GACGUAGGGGGCCAGCGUUGCUCGGAAUUACUGGGCGUAAAGGGUUCGUAGGCGGUGCGGCAAGUUGGGAGUGAAAUCUCUGGGCUUAACCCAGAGGCUGCUUCCAAAACUGCCGUGCUAGAGUGCGAGAGAGGCCAGUGGAAUUGCAGGUGUAGCGGUGAAAUGCGUAGAUAUCUGCAGGAACACCCGUGGCGAAGGCGGCUGGCUGGAUCGCAACUGACGCUGAGGAACGAAAGCGUGGGGAGCGAUCCGG